RNAcentral lists this long non-coding RNA (219 nucleotides) under Elaeis guineensis (African oil palm). RNAcentral's name for it is "long non-coding RNA (EGUI_LNC061179)". The record is from RNAcentral. Lineage: Eukaryota; Viridiplantae; Streptophyta; Magnoliopsida; Arecales; Arecaceae.
CAGUGACCCUACUUCUUGCAAAAGAAGCACUCUAUCUUACUUUGAUCAGUCUUGAACUUGGGUUUCUAGGACUGACUCCCAGCAUCAAGCACCUUUUUAUUCUUCUUCCUUUUCUCUUUCUUAAAGGGAUGACGACUACCCAAAGAAGAUCCUCCCACUAGAUUCACUAUCUCCUUGUGAAGCUGGUGAUUUUUCUCAAAAGUUUGUAGCAACCCCAAC